AACGAACGCUGGCGGCACGCCUAACACAUGCAAGUCGAACGAAGGCUUCGGCCUUAGUGGCGCACGGGUGCGUAACGCGUGGGAAUCUGCCCUUUGCUUCGGAAUAACAGUUAGAAAUGACUGCUAAUACCGGAUGAUGUCGCAAGACCAAAGAUUUAUCGGCAAAGGAUGAGCCCGCGUAGGAUUAGCUAGUUGGUGGGGUAAAGGCCUACCAAGGCGACGAUCCUUAGCUGGUCUGAGAGGAUGAUCAGCCACACUGGGACUGAGACACGGCCCAGACUCCUACGGGAGGCAGCAGUGGGGAAUAUUGGACAAUGGGCGAAAGCCUGAUCCAGCAAUGCCGCGUGAGUGAUGAAGGCCUUAGGGUUGUAAAGCUCUUUUACCCGGGAUGAUAAUGACAGUACCGGGAGAAUAAGCUCCGGCUAACUCCGUG
Molecule: ribosomal RNA, 433 nt
Filed under: uncultured bacterium
Lineage: Bacteria
Description: partial 16S ribosomal RNA
Rfam family: Bacterial small subunit ribosomal RNA
Source: RNAcentral